RNAcentral lists this ribosomal RNA (532 nucleotides) under uncultured bacterium. RNAcentral describes it as "bacterial SSU rRNA". It matches the Rfam family "Bacterial small subunit ribosomal RNA", at positions 777 to 1325 of the family's 1533-position model. The record is from RNAcentral.
AAUAGAUACCCCGGUAGUCCUGGCCGUAAACGAUGACCACCAGGUGUGGGAGGUAUCGACCCCUUCUGUGCCAAAGGGAACCCAUUAAGUGGUCCGCCUGGGGAGUACGGUCGCAAGAUUAAAACUCAAAGGAAUUGACGGGGACCCGCACAAGCAGCGGAGCGUGUGGUUUAAUUCGAUGCGACGCGAAGAACCUUACCAGGGUUUGACAUGCAGCUGCACCUCCUGGAGACAGGAGUCCCUUCGGGGCGGCUGCACAGGUGCUGCAUGGCUGCCGUCAGCUCGUGCCGUGAGGUGUUGGGUUAAGUCCCGCAACGAGCGCAACCCCUGUCGUCGGUUAAGCUGUCCGGCGAGACUGCCACGCUAAACGUGGAGGAAGGUGGGGAUGACGUCAAGUCAGCACGGCCCUUACGUCCUGGGCGACACACACGCUACAAUGGGCGAGACAACGGGUAGCCAACCGCGAGGGGAGCUAAUCCUAGCAAACUCGCUCUCAGUUCGGUAUGGCGAGGCUGCAACCGCCUGCCUGAAG